AUGGUUAAGUGACUAAGCGUACACGGUGGAUGCCUUGGCAGUCAGAGGCGAUGAAGGACGUAUUAACUUGCGAUAAGCCCAGAUUAGACAGUAAAAGUCAUUUGAGUCUGGGAUUUCCGAAUGGGGAAACCCACUUACAUAAGUAAGUAUCUUGUUGUGAAUACAUAGCAGCAAGAGGCAAACCGGGGGAACUGAAACAUCUAAGUACCCCGAGGAAGAGAAAUCAACCGAGAUUCCGAAAGUAGCGGCGAGCGAAAUUGGAUUAGCCCUUAAGCUUUUAAUGAGACAGACGAAGGCUCUGGAAAGUGCCGCAAUAAAGGGUGAUAGCCCCGUAGUCGACAUCUCAUCAUCAGUGAAAACGAGUAGGGCGGGACACGUGAUAUCCUGUCUGAAUAUGGGGGGACCAUCCUCCAAGGCUAAAUACUACUGACUGACCGAUAGUGAACCAGUACCGUGAGGGAAAGGCGAAAAGAACCCCUGUGAGGGGGAGUGAAAUAGAACCUGAAACCGUGUACGUACAAGCAGUAGGAGCACCUUCGUGGUGUGACUGCGUACCUUUUGUAUAAUGGGUCAGCGACUUAAUUUUAGUAGCAAGGUUAACCGUUUAGGGGAGCCGUAGGGAAACCGAGUCUUAACUGGGCGUACAGUUGCUAGGAUUAGACCCGAAACCAGGUGAUCUAGCCAUGGGCAGGUUGAAGGUUGAGUAACAUCACUGGAGGACCGACCGACUAUGU
This 734-nucleotide ribosomal RNA is filed under the name Vibrionales bacterium SWAT-3. Its description in RNAcentral is "bacterial LSU rRNA". It matches the Rfam family "Bacterial large subunit ribosomal RNA", at positions 1 to 787 of the family's 2925-position model. The record is from RNAcentral. Lineage: Bacteria; Pseudomonadati; Pseudomonadota; Gammaproteobacteria; Vibrionales.